AAUCAACGCUGGCGGCGUGCCUCAGACAUGCAAGUCGAACGCGAAAGGGCCCCUUCGGGGGCUGAGUAGAGUGGCGUCCGGGUGAGUAACACGUGGGUAAUCUACCUUCGGGUGGGGAAUAACAGUCGGAAACGACUGCUAAUACCGCAUAAUGCAGCGGCACCUAAUGGUGACAGUUGUUAAAGCGGGGGAUCGCAAGACCUCGCGCCUGAAGAGGAGCCCGCGGCGGAUUAGCUAGUUGGCAGGGUAACGGCCUACCAAGGCGACGAUCCGUAGCCGGCCUGAGAGGGCGGUCGGCCACACUGGCACUGACACACGGGCCAGACUCCUACGGGAGGCAGCAGUGGGGAAUAUUGGACAAUGGGCGCAAGCCUGAUCCAGCAAUGCCGCGUGAGUGAAGAAGGUCUUCGGAUUGUAAAGCUCUUUCGACGGGACGAUGAUGACGGUACCCGUAGAAGAAGCCCCGGCUAACUUCGUGCCAGCAGCCGCU
RNAcentral lists this ribosomal RNA (490 nucleotides) under uncultured bacterium. RNAcentral describes it as "bacterial SSU rRNA". It matches the Rfam family "Bacterial small subunit ribosomal RNA", at positions 32 to 519 of the family's 1533-position model. The record is from RNAcentral.